RNAcentral lists this ribosomal RNA (440 nucleotides) under uncultured bacterium. Its description in RNAcentral is "partial 16S ribosomal RNA". It matches the Rfam family "Bacterial small subunit ribosomal RNA", at positions 338 to 795 of the family's 1533-position model. The record is from RNAcentral.
CCUACGGGAGGCAGCAGUGGGGAAUAUUGCACAAUGGGGGAAACCCUGAUGCAGCGACGCCGCGUGAAGGAAGAAGUAUUUCGGUAUGUAAACUUCUAUCAGCAGGGAAGAAAAUGACGGUACCUGACUAAGAAGCCCCGGCUAACUACGUGCCAGCAGCCGCGGUAAUACGUAGGGGGCAAGCGUUAUCCGGAUUUACUGGGUGUAAAGGGAGCGUAGGCGGUUUAGCAAGGCAGAAGGGAAAGCCCGGGGCUUAACCCCGGGACUGCUUUUGAAACUGUUGAACUGGAGUGCAGGAGAGGCAAGUGGAAUUCCUGGUGUAGCGGUGAAAUGCGUAGAUAUUAGGAGGAACACCAGUGGCGAAGGCGGCUUACUGGACUGUAAAUGACGCUGAGGCUCGAAAGCGUGGGGAGCAAACAGGAUUAGAUACCCUUGUAGUC